GACGAACCGUACGAACGUUAUUCGGAAUCACUGGGCUUAAAGGGUGCGUAGGCGGCGCGACAAGUUGGGUGUGAAAUCCCUCGGCUCAACCGAGGAACUGCGCCCAAAACUGUCGUGCUCGAGGGAGACAGAGGUGAGCGGAACUUAGGGUGGAGCGGUGAAAUGCGUUGAUAUCCUAAGGAACACCGGUGGCGAAAGCGGCUCAUUGGGUCUCUUCUGACGCUGAGGCACGAAAGCUAGGGUAGCGAACGGG
RNAcentral lists this ribosomal RNA (253 nucleotides) under uncultured bacterium. RNAcentral's name for it is "partial 16S ribosomal RNA". It matches the Rfam family "Bacterial small subunit ribosomal RNA", at positions 524 to 776 of the family's 1533-position model. The record is from RNAcentral.